ACGCUCGACACCUACUGGAGGCAGCAGUGAGGGAUAUUGGUCAAUGGGGGAAACCCUGAACCAGCAACGCCGCGUGAGGGAUGACGGUCUUCGGAUUGUAAACCUCUGUCCUCUGUGAAGAUAAUGACGGUAGCAGAGGAGGAAGCUCCGGCUAACUACGUGUCAGCAGCCGCGGUAAUCUGAGCGGGCUGGCAAGGC
RNAcentral lists this ribosomal RNA (198 nucleotides) under uncultured bacterium. RNAcentral describes it as "partial 16S ribosomal RNA". It matches the Rfam family "Bacterial small subunit ribosomal RNA", at positions 328 to 539 of the family's 1533-position model. The record is from RNAcentral.